GAUGAACGCUAGCGGCAGGCCUAACACAUGCAAGUCGAACGGUAACAUAUCCUUCGGGAUGAUGACGAGUGGCGCACGGGUGCGUAACGCGUAUGCAAUCUGCCCCUAUCUGGAGGAUAGCCCGGAGAAAUCCGGAUUAAUACUCCAUAACAUCAUGAAUUCGCAUGUUUUUAUGAUUAAAGCUCCGGCGGAUAGGGAUGAGCAUGCGUCCUAUUAGUUUGUUGGUGAGGUAACGGCUCACCAAGACUUCGAUAGGUAGGGGGCCUGAGAGGGUGAUCCCCCACACUGGUACUGAGACACGGACCAGACUCCUACGGGAGGCAGCAGUGAGGAAUAUUGGACAAUGGGCGAAAGCCUGAUCCAGCCAUGCCGCGUGCAGGAUGACAGCCCUACGGGUCGUAAACUGCUUUUAUACAGGAAUAAACCCCCUUACGUGUAAGGGGCUGAAUGUACUGUAAGAAUAAGGAUCGGCUAACUCCGUGCCAGCCGCCGCCGUAACAC
RNAcentral lists this ribosomal RNA (501 nucleotides) under uncultured bacterium. RNAcentral describes it as "bacterial SSU rRNA". It matches the Rfam family "Bacterial small subunit ribosomal RNA", at positions 28 to 526 of the family's 1533-position model. The record is from RNAcentral.